RNAcentral lists this ribosomal RNA (1435 nucleotides) under uncultured marine bacterium. Its description in RNAcentral is "bacterial SSU rRNA". It matches the Rfam family "Bacterial small subunit ribosomal RNA". The record is from RNAcentral.
GAGUUUGAUCAUGGCUCAGAACGUACGCUGGCGGCACGCCUAACACAUGCAAGUCGAACGAAGUAGCAAUACUUAGUGGCAGACGGGUGAGUAACAUGUAGGUAUCUGCCCUUUGGCCUGGAAUAACACGAGGAAACUUGUGCUAAUACCGGAUAAGUCUUUACGGAGAAAGCUUUAUGCACCAUUGGAUGAGCCUGCACUUGAUUAGUUUGUUGGUGGGGUAAUGGCCUACCAAGACUGUGAUCAAUAGCUGAUUUGAGAGGAUGAUCAGCCACAUUGGGACUGAGACACGGCCCAAACUCCUACGGGAGGCAGCAGUGGGGAAUCUUGCACAAUGGAGGAAACUCUGAUGCAGCGAUGCCGCGUGAGUGAAGAAGGCCCUUGGGUUGUAAAGCUCUUUCGUCGGGGAAGAAAAUGACUGUACCCGAAUAAGAAGGUCCGGCUAACUUCGUGCCAGCAGCCGCGGUAAUACGAAGGGACCUAGCGUAGUUCGGAAUUACUGGGCUUAAAGAGUUCGUAGGUGGUUGAAAAAGUUAGUGGUGAAAUCCCAGAGCUUAACUCUGGAACUGCCAUUAAAACUUUUCAGCUAGAGUAUGAUAGAGGAAAGCAGAAUUUCUAGUGUAGAGGUGAAAUUCGUAGAUAUUAGAAAGAAUACCGAUUGCGAAGGCAGCUUUCUGGAUCAUUACUGACACUGAGGAACGAAAGCAUGGGUAGCGAAGAGGAUUAGAUACCCUCGUAGUCCAUGCCGUAAACGAUGUGUGUUAGACGUUGGAAAUUUAUUUUCAGUGUCGCAGGGAAACCGAUAAACACACCGCCUGGGGAGUACGACCGCAAGGUUAAAACUCAAAUGAAUUGACGGGGACCCGCACAAGUAGUGGAGCAUGUGGUUUAAUUCGAAGAUACGCGCAGAACCUUACCAACACUUGACAUGUUCGUCGCGACUCUAAGAGAUUAGAGUUUUCGGUUCGGCCGGACGAAACACAGGUGCUGCAUGGCUGUCGUCAGCUCGUGUCGUGAGAUGUUGGGUUAAGUCCCGCAACGAGCGCAACCCUCACUUUUAGUUGCCAUCAUUAAGUUGGGCACUCUGAAAGAACUGCCAGUGAUAAGCUGGAGGAAGGUGGGGAUGACGUCAAGUCCUCAUGGCCCUUACGUGUUGGGCCACACACGUGCUACAAUGGUAUCUACAACAGGAAGCAAGACUGCGAAGUUAAGCAAAUCCCUAAAAGAUACCUCAGUUCGGAUUGCACUCUGCAACUCGAGUGCAUGAAGCUGGAAUUACUAGUAAUCGUGGAUCAGCGUGCCACGGUGAAUGCGUUCCCGGGUCUUGUACACACCGCCCGUCACACCAUGGGAGUUGGUUCUACCUUAAGGCAAGGCUUUAAACCCUUGACCACGGUAUAGUCAGCGACUGGGGUGAAGUCGUAACAAGGUAACC